GCGUGCCCGUGCAACGUGGCCCCUGUCCGAACCGACCCUGACGUACUUCCCCAACGCCAGGUUCGUGCCAUCGGACAGGGACCUCGAUGCACCGGCCAGCCCUG
Molecule: non-coding RNA, 104 nt
Organism: Mycobacterium sp. 1245111.1
Lineage: Bacteria; Bacillati; Actinomycetota; Actinomycetes; Mycobacteriales; Mycobacteriaceae
Source: Rfam